Molecule: unclassified non-coding RNA, 257 nt
Filed under: Hevea brasiliensis (rubber tree)
Lineage: Eukaryota; Viridiplantae; Streptophyta; Magnoliopsida; Malpighiales; Euphorbiaceae
Source: RNAcentral
CCCAAAAAUUCUAAGUAUUCCGGCUGACACAACAAAUGAAUUGACAACUAAUACUGCACAGUACAUCCCCUCAUAAUCUUGGCCUUUAGAAUUCUUCCCAUAAACCAUCAAAGGAAUAAGGUCACGUCCAGUUUUAUCUACUAUAGGAUCAAAACAUUCUUGGAAGAUAGCAAGAGCUUGCGAAAGUAACACUUUAGUUUCAGCUGAAACGAUUUUGCCACUAAGAAUCCUCCAUCUCACAUCAAUAUCAUUAAUGG